GUGCUAUGCUUCCUGGGGAAGUUUUGCUGCCAUUUAAAGUCCCUGCUUCAUAUUCACUCUCUGUCGUUUCUCCCCCUUACAGGGCAUUCAAGGAAGAGACACUGUUCUUCUUGUGGCCAAGCUCUGAAUCCUCAAAGUUGUCAUGGCUAAAUCCAUGUGGUAUGACUACCAACCAUGGUCCCCUGUUAAUAGCAGCAAACUCAUUCUCAUUUCAGCAAGUGACCCUGCAACAAGAACUGUGAAGCUGCUUAGGUGGGCUUAACCUGCUCCAGAAAGGGACAGUCACUUCAACCAAGUACAGACUUUGCUCAUUUGCUUCCAGAUGCUCCAUCCUGCUGCACAAGAUAUAAUGGGUUGGAUUGCCAGAUUUCCAGUCAAGCCAAACAGCAUCAAACCAUUCCCUGGGAAAAGUUCAAAUGCAAAUGGUCAUACUCUGUCAGCUGUGACUCAUUGCAUCAAGUCCAGUGACUAAGAAGGUCAAAAACAAUUAAUUCAGAGACGAAGGUACCAGAGCUUUCAGUUCGGCUGCCACACUUCAGAACCACGCUCGGAAUAAAACUUG
Molecule: non-coding RNA, 562 nt
Organism: Lonchura striata (white-rumped munia)
Lineage: Eukaryota; Metazoa; Chordata; Aves; Passeriformes; Estrildidae
Source: RefSeq, a predicted model, not a curated record